GAAAUAUAGUAUAAAGAAUACAUUUCACUUACACUGAAAAUAUGCUUGAAUUACAAGCUAUUUC
RNAcentral lists this transfer RNA (64 nucleotides) under Drupella cornus. RNAcentral describes it as "transfer RNA-Val". It matches the Rfam family "tRNA". From Rfam's summary of the family: Transfer RNA (tRNA) molecules are approximately 80 nucleotides in length. Their secondary structure includes four short double-helical elements and three loops (D, anti-codon, and T loops). Further hydrogen bonds mediate the characteristic L-shaped molecular structure. tRNAs have two regions of fundamental functional importance: the anti-codon, which is responsible for specific mRNA codon recognition, and the 3' end, to which the tRNAs corresponding amino acid is attached (by aminoacyl-tRNA synthetases). tRNAs cope with the degeneracy of the genetic code in two manners: having more than one tRNA (with a specific anti-codon) for a particular amino acid; and 'wobble' base-pairing, i.e. permitting non-standard base-pairing at the 3rd anti-codon position. The record is from RNAcentral. Lineage: Eukaryota; Metazoa; Mollusca; Gastropoda; Neogastropoda; Muricidae.